Molecule: long non-coding RNA, 998 nt
Organism: Musa acuminata AAA Group (dessert banana)
Lineage: Eukaryota; Viridiplantae; Streptophyta; Magnoliopsida; Zingiberales; Musaceae
Exons: 2
Source: RefSeq, a predicted model, not a curated record
AUUAAAUCUUGGCAAAAUCAUCAAAUUUACGUUAUCUUAUUCUGACCUGCGGUGAUCAGACUCUAGUAACUUGCUAAAGCACUGAAGCUUCGUGCAACAGUAACAGCGUGGAGAAAGCUCGUGCGCGUCGAAUCCAUCUCGCUCGGCCGACACAAUGACAUCCUCUUCUGCACUGCAGAGCUCUCAUCGGCUUCUACCUCCUCCUCCUCCUCCUCCUCCACCCACGCCGAGUACGUAGAUUUGAACCUUCAACCCACUAGAGACGUAAGGUGCUCGACCAAAUGCGCCUACGAAGUCGAUUUGUUCGUUGUUUUUGCCUACUUAGAAGUGUGCAUGGAAUUCCCUCCUUCAAAAGAGCGGAGAAAGCAGUCACGUACGUGAUGGAACGGGGCUCAAAACCACACCAUUUCAUCUCCUUACUACGCCGGUGCAGUCUCAUAGUGGCAGGGCGUGACCGUGUUCCUGCACGCCGCCUCCGUGCCGGUCAUUUCGUCAAACAGCUGGAACGCGAACGCAGAGCGAAGCGACGGCACCGACCAAAGAGCUUUAAAUGACAGCGUCCAGGAGAUGAAUCCGGCUUCAUCAGGAAGGGGUGAUAGAACUGGUAGUGGCGAGAGCUUUCGGAAGCCAACGAUCGGACGAGGUCUUCGACGAUGCCUGUGAUCCCCUGGCAAAGACGGUGCCGCACUGUCAUUGAUACAUGAGUGAAGUAAUACUGGAGUCUCGUUACCUUUAGUGCGAAUAAGACGUUGCAGUUUGGACGAUUUCGCAACGAUUUAAUUCUUUUGGAGGCAGUUCAUGCACCCAGCGGGAGGCAGCGGUAAGAGAACCGGAGAGUCUUCGGAUCUUCGACGUCCCCCGAAUCGCACCCAACCGCGGCCGCGGGUUCGACAGGCCGGCAUCAUUAAGAAGCAUAAGGUAUGGAAACCGAUUUGUAAGCUUACCGCCAGCCACCGAGUGCCUGAACUGCCUCCAAAAAAAAAUAAAUCUUGUCAAAA